Molecule: long non-coding RNA, 322 nt
Filed under: Capra hircus (goat)
Lineage: Eukaryota; Metazoa; Chordata; Mammalia; Artiodactyla; Bovidae
Description: lncRNA (ENSCHIG00010023803.1)
Source: RNAcentral
GGCCCGGCCGGCCCACCCGCCCCCGGGGACCGCCGGCUCUGCCAGGCGCUGGGAUCCCGACGUCGGGAUCCCGACGCCGGUGCCUUGGGGGCCGGCGAGUCGGGGUGCGGCUGCCCGGGGGGGCCUGGCUCCCGGCUCCGAGCUCGCCUGCAUCUUCCCGGGGCCGAUCUUGUUCUCAACGGCUCUGGGUGUCGGCGACCCUUCUAGCCAGCCCACUCCUCUCGCCAUGAGAUUCAGGGUGUCGGAGGGCCAGACACUGGUUUCAGCCUUGUAUAUUUUUCUAGAUCAUUAUUGGCAUGCAAACAGCUGGGAUAGUCUAUGA